Molecule: ribosomal RNA, 484 nt
Filed under: uncultured bacterium
Lineage: Bacteria
Description: bacterial SSU rRNA
Rfam family: Bacterial small subunit ribosomal RNA
Source: RNAcentral
GAUUAUGGCUCAGGAUGAACGCUGGCGGCGUGCCUAACACAUGCAAGUCGAACGGAGUAAUUCUUCGGAGGUUACUUAGGUGGCGGACGGGUGAGUAACGCGUGGGUAAUCUGCCUUACACAGGGGGACAACAGUUGGAAACGACUGCUAAUACCGCAUAAGCCGGUAGCGCCGCAUGGCGCAUCCGGAAAAGAUUCAUCGGUGUAAGAUGAGCCCGCGUCUGAUUAGUUAGUUGGCGGGGUAACGGCCCACCAAGACGACGAUCAGUAGCCGACCUGAGAGGGUGAUCGGCCACAUUGGGACUGAGACACGGCCCAAACUCCUACGGGGGGCAGCAGUGGGGAAUAUUGCGCAAUGGGGGGAACCCUGACGCAGCAACGCCGCGUGAGUGAAGAAGUAUUUCGGUAUGUAAAGCUCUAUCAGCAGGGAAGAAAACGACGGUACCUGCAGAAGAAGUCCCGGCUAACUACGUGCCAGCCGCCGC